RNAcentral lists this transfer RNA (84 nucleotides) under Partulina redfieldi. RNAcentral describes it as "tRNA-His". Lineage: Eukaryota; Metazoa; Mollusca; Gastropoda; Stylommatophora; Achatinellidae. The record is from RNAcentral.
UAAUAUUAAUAUACAGAUUAUAGAUUAUUUUUAUAAAUUUCUAAUAAUUAAGAAUUUUAGACCUUUAUGUGUUUUACUAUAAUC